UACGUAGGGACCAAGCGUUGUUCGGAUUUACUGGGCGUAAAGGGCGCGUAGGCGGCAAUUCAAGUCAUCUGUGAAAUCUCCGGGCUUAACUCGGAACGGUCAGAUGAUACUGCUUUGCUAGAGUGCGGAAGGGGCAAUCGGAAUUCUCGGUGUAGCGGUGAAAUGCGUAGAUAUCGGGAGGAACACCGGUGGCGAAGGCGGAUCUCUGGGCCAUUACUGACGCUGAGGAGCGAAAGCGUGGGGAGCGAACAGG
RNAcentral lists this ribosomal RNA (253 nucleotides) under uncultured bacterium. RNAcentral's name for it is "partial 16S ribosomal RNA". It matches the Rfam family "Bacterial small subunit ribosomal RNA", at positions 524 to 776 of the family's 1533-position model. The record is from RNAcentral.